CCUACGGGGGGCUGCAGUGGGGAAUUUUGGACAAUGGGCGCAAGCCUGAUCCAGCCAUUCCGCGUGAGUGAAGAAGGCCUUCGGGUUGUAAAGCUCUUUCGGCCGGGAAGAAAUCGCACGGGUUAAUACCCUGUGUGGAUGACGGUACUGGAAGAAGAAGCACCGGCUAACUACGUGCCAGCAGCCGCGGUAAUACGUAGGGUGCGAGCGUUAGUCGGAAGUGCGGGGCGUAAAGCGUAAGCAGGCGGUGAAAUCCCCGGGCUUAACCGGGGAACUGCGGGUGUGACUGCAAGACUUGAGUGCGGCAGAGGGGGGUGGAAUUCCACGUGUAGCAGUGAAAUGCGUAGAGAUGUGGAGGAACACCGAUGGCGAAGGCAGCCCCCUGGGUCGACACUGACGCUCAUGCACGAAAGCGUGGGGAGCAAACAGGAUUAGAUACCCUGGUAGUC
This 449-nucleotide ribosomal RNA is filed under the name uncultured bacterium. RNAcentral describes it as "partial 16S ribosomal RNA". It matches the Rfam family "Bacterial small subunit ribosomal RNA", at positions 338 to 795 of the family's 1533-position model. The record is from RNAcentral.